RNA transcript from Balaenoptera acutorostrata (minke whale), 3909 nucleotides. It is a transcript of the gene named mitogen-activated protein kinase 14, with no coding region annotated. The transcript has 13 exons. The record is from RefSeq and is a predicted model, not a curated record. NCBI's taxonomy places the organism in Eukaryota, Metazoa, Chordata, Mammalia, Artiodactyla, Balaenopteridae.
UCUCGGCUCGCAGAGAGGCCCGGGAGCUGUUCUCGCGAGAGUACGGCGGGAGGCUCCUGUUCGCUGGCUGUGGAACGGCGACCACUGGAACCUCCGCGGGCGCUGCAGCUGGAGCCGUAGCCCCGCGGCGCAGCCGGGAAUUGGCCUGGUCUGGAGAGGGUGCAGCGAGAACGUGGCGGGCGCAGCCUUGAGCCCCUGAGCGUGCCCCUGCCCUUAGCGGGGCUCACCCCCGUCGCGGAGGCGCGUCCAGCCGCUGCGGCUGACAGGGGCCGCGCGCGCGGGAGUCGUCUGGGUCGCGGCGUUCACACCUGCGCGGGCGGCCAGCGCAGGGUCCCCGCCCGUCCGGCCGGGCGACGAGGUCGGGGAAGCGGGUGCGGGCGCAGGCGGGGCCCCGCAGGGCCACCUCCUCGCCUCGCGGCCACCGCUGGAAGAUGUCUCAGGAGAGGCCCACGUUCUACCGGCAGGAGCUGAACAAGACAAUCUGGGAGGUGCCCGAGCGUUACCAAAACCUGUCCCCGGUGGGCUCCGGCGCCUAUGGCUCCGUGUGUGCUGCUUUUGACACAAAAACUGGGUUACGUGUUGCAGUGAAGAAGUUAUCCAGACCAUUUCAGUCCAUUAUUCAUGCCAAAAGGACCUACAGAGAACUGCGGUUACUUAAACAUAUGAAACAUGAAAAUGUGAUUGGUCUGUUGGAUGUUUUCACACCUGCAAGGUCUCUGGAGGAAUUCAAUGAUGUGUACCUGGUGACCCAUCUCAUGGGGGCAGAUCUGAACAACAUUGUGAAAUGUCAGAAGCUUACGGAUGACCAUGUUCAGUUCCUUAUCUACCAGAUUCUCCGAGGUCUCAAGUAUAUACAUUCAGCCGACAUAAUUCACAGGGACCUAAAACCUAGUAAUCUAGCUGUGAAUGAAGACUGUGAGCUGAAGAUCUUGGAUUUCGGACUGGCUCGACACACAGAUGAUGAAAUGACAGGCUAUGUAGCCACUCGGUGGUACAGGGCUCCUGAGAUCAUGCUGAACUGGAUGCAUUACAACCAGACAGUUGAUAUUUGGUCAGUGGGAUGCAUAAUGGCCGAGCUGUUGACUGGAAGAACAUUGUUUCCUGGUACAGACCAUAUUGAUCAGUUGAAGCUCAUUUUAAGACUCGUUGGAACCCCAGGGGCUGAGCUUUUGAAGAAAAUCUCCUCAGAGUCUGCAAGAAACUACAUUCAGUCUUUGACCCAGAUGCCAAAGAUGAACUUUGCAAAUGUAUUUAUCGGUGCCAAUCCCUUGGCUGUCGACUUGCUGGAGAAGAUGCUUGUAUUGGACUCAGAUAAGAGAAUUACAGCAGCCCAAGCCCUUGCACAUGCCUACUUUGCCCAGUACCAUGAUCCUGAUGAUGAACCAGUGGCUGAUCCUUACGAUCAGUCUUUCGAAAGCAGGGACCUCCUUAUAGAUGAAUGGAAAAAUGACGACACUCUGGACCUUUGAGAUGCUUCUGUCUGGUCUGAUUUUGUGCACAGCCCCUCACGUCUGCAUAGAGCUUUGAGGCCUGACCUACGAUGAAGUCAUCAGCUUUGUGCCACCACCCCUUGACCAAGAAGAGAUGGAGUCUUGAGUAUCUGGUUUCUGUUCCGUUGAUCCCACUUCACUGUGAGGGGAAGGCCUUUUCAUGGGAACUCUCCAAAUAUCAUUCAAGUGCCUCUUGUUGCAAAGAUUUCCUCCAUGGUGGAAGGGGUGUGUGUGUGUGUUGUGUGUGUCUGACUUUGUGGAGGGUAAGAGAUGAUGAGCAAACUAUCACAGUGACUUUACGUGGAGUGACAGAUGCUCUGUGGCAGCCUCUGCUUGCUCUUGUUCGUGAGAGUCAGCUAGGCGGGCAAGAGCUGCCAUCUUGUAGGGUUUGUUAAAUGCAAAGUGAAAAAUAUUAAACAUCCCAGACCCCAGUCAUGCUUUUGGCAUUUUGACCUCUCCUGUGGCCCCACCUUGACGGUGGAGGUUAGACUUGACCGCAUCCCACAGUGGCAUAGAGAGAAGGCUCACACCUUCUGGCUGCUUCACACCUGGAGCUGUCCCUCAGUGAUGCAUCAGCCAAAAAGGACCAACUGGCUUCUGUGCACUAGUCUGUGAUUAACUUGCUUAGUGUGAUUCUCAGAACUCAACAGCUGUACCUGAAACUAUAAAUAUGUCUGUGCCUUAAAAGGAGAGAAGAAAGUGUAGUUGGUUAGGAGAGUGCAGCGGAUGAAGUUCUGAGCCAGGCAAGUAGUCACGUUGUUGGACCGCCACUUGUGAACCCGAAGUGGCCAGGGAGCCUUCAGAGGCACCACGUGUGAGCGUGCAUAUAUGUGCUUCUCUCUCUUCCUCCCUCACGCCCACACCCCCACCCGGGUGUCUUUGCCAUUUCUCUGCAUACCCACCACCUUCAGUGCAGAGGUUUCUUAAGUACUGGCCCCAGUAGUCAGAAGCUGGUUCUUGCUCUCAGUGUACUUCCUGCGUGCUCUUUAUUCCUAGCAGAGUGAUGAUGUGUUUUGCACGUCUUGCUGUUUGAGCAUGCACGGUUGCUCGUCCUGUUCUCUUCGGGAGGCCCUGGUGCCAGGCAGGUUUGCCAGUGAAGACCUUGUGGGUAGUUCAGAAUCCACGUCACCUCAGCUGAUGCUAUGGGCAAGUGAUGUCAUCCUCUCUUCAGCCCCCAGUGCUAUUUUGUGUUGAACACAAGUGAUACUCCAGGUGCUUUUGAUGUGAAAACUAUGAAGAAAUGGAACAGAUGGAUGUAUAGCAUUUCCAUUCUUGCCAUCUGGUUUUCAACAGACUAUUUUUGGGGAGCCGUCAACCAGGAAAGAUCAGGGCUUGUCCCAGGAAUAUCUCAGACUUUGGAGAACAAGUCAUUCUCUUCACUCCCAAUAACCAAUGCUAAGAAAUGCUGAAAAUCAAAGUGAAAAAUAAAACCUCAUGAGGCCAGAAACUCCUUUUGCUAUCUUUGUCUAAAUAUGGUUAUUUUUUAAAAAGAAAAGUAAUGAGGUGUCUUUUCCACCCUUCUUUGGAAAAGGGUCUUCUUGGCAGCUUAACAUUGACUUCUUGGUCUUGGUUUGUGGAGAAAUAAAUUUUGUUUCAGAAUUUUCUAUAUUGCAGGAAUCCAUUGAGAAUAUGAUUCCUUUUGAUGGGGAGAAAGGGCAAAUUAUUUUAAUAUUUUGUAUUUUCAACUUUAUAAAGAUGAAAUAUCCUCAGGGGUGGAGAAGAGUUGUUUUCAUAAUUUUCUGAAUUUCAGGCAUCUUGUGCUACAUAAGGGCCCAUAUAUUUAAACCUUUUGUGAAAGAAGAAAGCGUAGAGCCACUUCCAGUGUUGGCUGUGUGACAGAAUCUUGUAUUGGGGCCAAGGUGUUUCCAUUUCUCUGUCACAGUGCAGUGAUACCUGCACUCCAGAGGGACAGGGUAGGACCCCCAAGUGAACUGGAGCGAGAAGGAAGGAGGCAGCUGAUGGUGAUCACACCUCACCCGGGAGUCACCCGGAAUUCGCCCCCUCUUUAAAGGAAAAUGAACGCAGAGGCCUCAUCUCCUUUAUAUGCAGUUCAAAUCCUCGUGAUCCACAGCAGGAUGAAUUUUAUCAGCCAUGUUUUGUUGUAAAUGCUAGUGUGAUUUCCUACAGAAAUACUGCUCUGAAUAUUUUUUUCAUAAAGGUCUUUGCACAUGAGACCGUAUACGUGUUAAGAGGCUGAAUGCGCCAGGAGCCUGGACUCAGCUGGAGCCUGCGUGCGGAAGAGCUCCUUGGUUUCUGAGCAUAAUGCUCCCAUCUCCUGAUUUCUCUGAACAGAAAACGAAAGAGAGAAUGAGGGAAAAUUCUAUUUUAUUUGUACUCAUGAACUUGGCUGUAUUCAGUUAUGCCAUAUAGGAUGUCAUACAAUACCACUGGUUAAAAUAAAGCCUAUUUUUCAAAUUUA